RNAcentral lists this transfer RNA (77 nucleotides) under Deltaproteobacteria bacterium. RNAcentral describes it as "tRNA-Pro". It matches the Rfam family "tRNA". Rfam says of the family: Transfer RNA (tRNA) molecules are approximately 80 nucleotides in length. Their secondary structure includes four short double-helical elements and three loops (D, anti-codon, and T loops). The record is from RNAcentral. Lineage: Bacteria; Pseudomonadati; Myxococcota; Myxococcia.
CGGGGAGUGGCGCAGUCUGGUAGCGCGCCUGCCUUGGGCGCAGGAGGCCGUCGGUUCAAGUCCGAUCUCCCCGACCA